RNAcentral lists this ribosomal RNA (451 nucleotides) under uncultured bacterium. RNAcentral's name for it is "bacterial SSU rRNA". It matches the Rfam family "Bacterial small subunit ribosomal RNA", at positions 29 to 524 of the family's 1533-position model. The record is from RNAcentral.
AGCGAACGCUGGCGGCAGGCCUAAUACAUGCAAGUCGAACGGUCUCUUCGGAGGCAGUGGCGGACGGGGUGAGUAACGCGUGGGAACGUGCCCUUUGGUACGGAACAACUGAGGGAAACUUCAGCUAAUACCGUAUGUGCCCUUCGGGGGAAAGAUUUAUCGCCAUUGGAGCGGCCCGCGUUGGAUUAGCUAGUUGGUGGGGUAAUGGCCCACCAAGGCGACGAUCCAUAGCUGGUCUGAGAGGAUGAUCAGCCACACUGGGACUGAGACACGGCCCAGACUCCUACGGGAGGCAGCAGUAGGGAAUCUUGCGCAAUGGGCGAAAGUCUGACGCAGCCAUGCCGCGUGAAUGAUGAAGGUCUUAGGAUUGUAAAAUUCUUUCACCGGGGACGAUAAUGACGGUACCCGGAGAAGAAGCCCCGGCUAACUUCGUGCCAGCAGCCGCGGUAAU